This 1986-nucleotide ribosomal RNA is filed under the name human gut metagenome. RNAcentral's name for it is "bacterial LSU rRNA". It matches the Rfam family "Bacterial large subunit ribosomal RNA", at positions 3 to 2001 of the family's 2925-position model. The record is from RNAcentral.
UCAAGCUACUAAGGGCAUACGGUGGAUGCCUAGGCGCCAAGAGCCGAAGAAGGACGCGGUAAGCUGCGAAAAGCCACGGGGAACUGCAAGCAAGUAUUGAUCCGUGGAUAUCCGAAUGGGGAAACCCGGCCAUCGUCAUGGAUGGUCACCCGCAAGGGAGGGAACCUGGGGAACUGAAACAUCUAAGUACCCGGAGGAAGAGAAAUCAAACGAGAUGCCCACAGUAGCGGCGAGCGAAGAGGGCAGAGCCCAAACCGAGAAGCUCCGGCUUUUCGGGGUUGAGGACCGGCAGAAUCGAAGUCAGGCCUAGUUGAAUUACCUGGAAAGGUAAGCGAGAGAGGGUAAAAGCCCCGUAGACGAAAGGCAGAGCAGAGAGGCCGAGAUCCAGAGUACCACGAAGCACGAGGAAUUUUGUGGGAAGCAGGGGGGACCACCCUCCAAGGCUAAAAACUACUUGGCGACCGAUAGCGCAUAGUACCGUGAGGGAAAGGUGAAAAGAACCCCGGGAGGGGAGUGAAAUAGUACCUGAAACCGUAUGUCUACAAGCAGUCGAAGCGAAAGCGACGGCGUGCCUAUUGAAGAAUGAACCAACGAGUUAUCUGCACUAGCGAGGUUAAGUGGAAGACACGGAGCCGCAGCGAAAGCGAGUCUUAAGAGGGCGCUAGUUAGUGUAGGUAGACCCGAAACCGCAGUGAUCUACCCAUGUCCAGGUUGAAGCGCAGGUAAAAUUGCGUGGAGGACCGAACCGGUGAGCGUUGAAAAGCUUUCGGAUGAGAUGUGGGUAGGGGUGAAAUUCCAAUCGAACGCGGAGAUAGCUGGUUCUCCCCGAAAUAGCUUUAGGGCUAGCCUGAGGUAGUAAGUAUAGGCGGUAGAGCACUGAUCGGGCUAGGGGCCGUAAAGGUUACCGAACCCUGUCAAACUCCGAAUGGAUAUACUGUAGAGCCUUGGAGUCAGACUACGAGUGAUAAGAUCCGUGGUCAAAAGGGAAACAGCCCAGACCACCAGCUAAGGUCCCCAAUGUCGUACUAAGUGGAAAAGGAUGUGGGGUUUCAUAAACAACCAGGAUGUUGGCUCAGAAGCAGCCACCAUUUAAAGAGUGCGUAAUAGCUCACUGGUCGAGAGACCCUGCGCCGAAGAUUCCCGGGGCUAAAGUACGAAACCGAAGCUGUGGCUGUAUACGUAAAGUAUACGGGGUAGGGGAGCGUUCCCAUAGGGUAGAAGUCGAACUGGAAGGUUCGGUGGACUUGUGGGAAGUGAGAAUGUUGGUAUGAGUAGCGAAAAGAAAGGUGAGAAUCCUUUCCACCGAAAGCAUAAGGAUUCCUGAGCAACGAUCGUCGUCUCAGGGUAAGUCGGGACCUAAUCCGAGGCAGAGAGCGUAGGAGAUGGACAACUGGUUGAUAUUCCAGUACCGGUAGUAAUUGUUUGAGCAAUGGAGUGACACAGAAGGGCAGGCAAGCAUGCGAAUGGAAGAGCAUGUGUAAGCGUGUAGGGUGGUGCAUAGGCAAAUCCGUGCACUGAAAGCCUGAGGCGUGAUGCGGAGUGAGCAGAGAUGCGAGCGAAGUUGUUGACCCCACACUGUCGAGAAAAGCUUCUAGUGAGAGAGCUACCGCCCGUACCGUAAACCGACACAGGUAUGCGGGGAGAGAAUCCUAAGGUGCGCGGGAGAACCCUCGUUAAGGAACUCGGCAAAAUGUACCCGUAACUUCGGGAUAAGGGUAGCCACUGUUGUGAAGUCCCAUGCGGAUGGAGCAUAGAGUGGUCGCAGAGAAGAGGCCCAAGCGACUGUUUACCAUAAACACAGGUGCCUGCUAAAGCGAAAGCUGACGUAUAGGUGCUGACACCUGCCCAGUGCCGGAAGGUUAAGGAAGGAUGUUCGGAGUAAUCCAAAGCAUUCGACUGAAGCCCCGGUGAACGGCGGCCGUAACUAUAACGGUCCUAAGGUAGCGAAAUUCCUUGUCGGGUAAGUUCCGACCCGCACGAAAGGUG